GACGAACCGUGCGAACGUUAUUCGGAUUCACUGGGCUUAAAGGGUGCGUAGGCGGUCGGGUAAGUCUGGCGUGAAAUCUCCAAGCCUAACUUGGAAACUGCGUUGGAUACUAUCCGGCUCGAGGAAUGGAGGGGAGACUGGAAUACUUGGUGUAGCAGUGAAAUGCGUAGAUAUCAAGUGGAACACCAGUGGCGAAGGCGAGUCUCUGGACAUUUCCUGACGCUGAGGCACGAAAGCCAGGGGAGCAAACGGG
Molecule: ribosomal RNA, 253 nt
Filed under: uncultured bacterium
Lineage: Bacteria
Description: partial 16S ribosomal RNA
Rfam family: Bacterial small subunit ribosomal RNA
Source: RNAcentral